This 226-nucleotide ribosomal RNA is filed under the name uncultured bacterium. RNAcentral describes it as "partial 16S ribosomal RNA". It matches the Rfam family "Bacterial small subunit ribosomal RNA", at positions 538 to 763 of the family's 1533-position model. The record is from RNAcentral.
GCGUUAUCCGGAUUCACUGGGUUUAAAGGGUGCGUAGGCGGGCAGGUAAGUCCGUGGUGAAAUCUCUGAGCUUAACUCAGAAACUGCCAUGGAUACUAUUUGUCUUGAAUAUUGUGGAGGUAAGCGGAAUAUGUCAUGUAGCGGUGAAAUGCUUAGAUAUGACAUGGAACGCCGAUGGCGAAGGCAGCUUACUGCACAGUUAUCGACGCUGAGGCGCGAAAGCGUG